This 253-nucleotide ribosomal RNA is filed under the name uncultured bacterium. Its description in RNAcentral is "partial 16S ribosomal RNA". It matches the Rfam family "Bacterial small subunit ribosomal RNA", at positions 524 to 776 of the family's 1533-position model. The record is from RNAcentral.
UACGUAGGGGGCAAGCGUUGUCCGGAUUUAUUGGGCGUAAAGAGCGUGUAGGCGGCUGGGUAGGUCCGCUGUGAAAACUCGAGGCUUAACCUCGAGACGUCGGUGGAAACCAUCCAGCUAGAGUCCGGAAGAGGCGAGUGGAAUUCCUGGUGUAGCGGUGAAAUGCGCAGAUAUCAGGAGGAACACCAAUGGCGAAGGCAGCUCGCUGGGACGUGACUGACGCUGAGACGCGAACGCGUGGGGAGCAAACAGG